UACAGAGGGUGCAAGCGUUACUCGGAAUUACUGGGCGUAAAGCGUGCGUAGGUGGUUGUUUAAGUCUGUUGUGAAAGCCCUGGGCUCAACCUGGGAACUGCAGUGGAAACUGGACAACUAGAGUGUGGUAGAGGGUAGCGGAAUUCCCGGUGUAGCAGUGAAAUGCGUAGAGAUCGGGAGGAACAUCCAUGGCGAAGGCAGCUACCUGGACCAACACUGACACUGAGGCACGAAAGCGUGGGGAGCAAACAGG
Molecule: ribosomal RNA, 253 nt
Filed under: uncultured bacterium
Lineage: Bacteria
Description: partial 16S ribosomal RNA
Rfam family: Bacterial small subunit ribosomal RNA
Source: RNAcentral